AACGAACGCUGGCGGCAUGCCUAACACAUGCAAGUCGAACGAGACCUUCGGGUCUAGUGGCGCACGGGUGCGUAACGCGUGGGAACCUGCCCUUAGGUUCGGAAUAACUCCCCGAAAGGGGUGCUAAUACCGGAUAAUGUCUUCGGACCAAAGAUUUAUCGCCUUUGGAUGGGCCCGCGUUGGAUUAGCUAGUUGGUAGGGUAAAAGCCUACCAAGGCGACGAUCCAUAGCUGGUCUGAGAGGAUGAUCAGCCACACUGGGACUGAGACACGGCCCAGACUAGUGGGGGAGGGUGCAGUGGGAAGUAUCGAGGAAGGGGAAAAGGCGUGAUGGAGCACGGGCGAGGGAGUGAGGAAGGCGUUAGGAUUGAAAAGCUCUGUUACCCGGGAUGAUAAUGAGAGUAGCGGGAAGAAAGGGUACGGCUAACCCCGUGCCAGCGGCGGCGGGAAUAGGGGGAAGAGGACACGUCUGAGC
RNAcentral lists this ribosomal RNA (474 nucleotides) under uncultured bacterium. RNAcentral describes it as "partial 16S ribosomal RNA". It matches the Rfam family "Bacterial small subunit ribosomal RNA", at positions 36 to 538 of the family's 1533-position model. The record is from RNAcentral.